AAUGAUGUGCCUGAAUAAAGGAUUAUUUUGAUAGAAUAAAUUAUAUAAAUUUAAUUAUCUUCAUUAUUU
RNAcentral lists this transfer RNA (69 nucleotides) under Parapolybia varia. RNAcentral's name for it is "tRNA-Ile". The record is from RNAcentral. Lineage: Eukaryota; Metazoa; Arthropoda; Insecta; Hymenoptera; Vespidae.